CUUCUUCUUUUUUUUAAUCAACUAAAACUCAAAAUAAGAUUAUUUUUUUUAAUAUAAAGUUACCAAAAUAACCUAAGCAGUAAGCAGAACAGCGCCACUAGCCUCCUUGAUCUUCUUCUCAGCAGAAUUCUCUGUUGAUGUUGACGAUAUGAGCCAGUGGAAUUUGUUGAGGAGCUCAUACCGGAUUUACCAAACUACCCGGUUGGUAUUUUGUCGCAGAGGAUCCUGCGUUAGUGUUGCAUGCCUCCGGCUUUCCCGCAACCUCAUGGGAGCUUUCUCUGUUUCGCGAUACACAGAAAAGAAUAGCAGAAAAGAAA
RNAcentral lists this long non-coding RNA (317 nucleotides) under Citrus sinensis (sweet orange). RNAcentral's name for it is "long non-coding RNA (CSIN_LNC003504)". The record is from RNAcentral. Lineage: Eukaryota; Viridiplantae; Streptophyta; Magnoliopsida; Sapindales; Rutaceae.